RNAcentral lists this non-coding RNA (23 nucleotides) under Arabidopsis thaliana (thale cress). Lineage: Eukaryota; Viridiplantae; Streptophyta; Magnoliopsida; Brassicales; Brassicaceae. The record is from RNAcentral.
AGGUCCGUUGAUUCCAAACUAAU